GAUGAACGCUGGCGGCGUGCCUAAUACAUGCAAGUCGAGCGAACGGACGAGAAGCUUGCUUCUCUGAUGUUAGCGGCGGACGGGUGAGUAACACGUGGAUAACCUACCUAUAAGACUGGGAUAACUUCGGGAAACCGGAGCUAAUACCGGAUAAUAUUUUGAACCGCAUGGUUCAAAAGUGAAAGACGGUCUUGCUGUCACUUAUAGAUGGAUCCGCGCUGCAUUAGCUAGUUGGUAAGGUAACGGCUUACCAAGGCAACGAUGCAUAGACGAGCUGAGAGGGUGAUCGGCCACACUGGAACUGAGACACGGUCCAGACUCCUACGGGAGGCAGCAGUAGGGAAUCUUCCGCAAUGGGCGAAAGCCUGACGGAGCAACGCCGCGUGAGUGAUGAAGGUCUUCGGAUCGUAAAACUCUGUUAUUAGUGAAGAACAUAUGUGUAAGUAACUGUGCACAUCUUGACGGUACCUAAUCAGAAAGCCACGGCUAACUACGUG
This 497-nucleotide ribosomal RNA is filed under the name uncultured bacterium. RNAcentral's name for it is "partial 16S ribosomal RNA". It matches the Rfam family "Bacterial small subunit ribosomal RNA", at positions 28 to 507 of the family's 1533-position model. The record is from RNAcentral.